Molecule: long non-coding RNA, 137 nt
Organism: Octodon degus (degu)
Lineage: Eukaryota; Metazoa; Chordata; Mammalia; Rodentia; Octodontidae
Exons: 3
Source: RefSeq, a predicted model, not a curated record
AGGGAAGACUGAAGAGUCCGCGACAGAAGGUGGAGGAUCCAAGCCGGAGGUGGAAGAGUCUGCGCUGCAAGCCAGGCGACGACGUCCAAGCCGAAUGAGAAGACUGAAGUUCCAAUGAAGAAGCGAGCAGGCGACAG